Long non-coding RNA from Scatophagus argus, 1254 nucleotides. RefSeq lists it as uncharacterized. The record is from RefSeq and is a predicted model, not a curated record. NCBI's taxonomy places the organism in Eukaryota, Metazoa, Chordata, Actinopteri, Scatophagidae. The transcript is spliced from 4 exons.
AUUGCUGAAAACAUCUUUGAAAUUUGGCUUGAUUUCUUGCUGUUUGGUCGGAAACAGGAAUCUGAUUGGUUCUGCAGCAGCAGUUUUGUCGAGGAACUCUGGGAAAAGACAUGUUGGUAGCUGGGGGUUGUGCUGCCUACUGCAUACCGCUGCUCAAUUAAUCCAAGCGGCAGUGCAGGCAGAAAUGUGGGUUGGCGGCGUGAACACCGGACAGAUGAAUUUCAGCAGUCUGGUCCUCAGUGGUGUCAGCCUCGUGGAUCUGGUUGUCGAACCACAUGUGGGCCACUGUCAUGCGGUUCUGGGUCAGCGUGCCCGUCUUGUCGGAGCAGAUGGUGGAGGUGGAGCCGAGAGUCUCUACGGCCUCCAGGUUCUUCACCAGACAGUUCUUCUUGGCCAUUCGCUUGGCAGUGAGAGUCAGACACACCUGGGAGGACGAUGGGAGAAUAUUCUCGGUUUUACCAGUGAAAAAGUUGUCGUGAGCUGAGCCCUGACUGAUGCAAACAAGACAGCCUGGCAUGGAAGAUGAAAGCCUCUUCCAGCUGGUGUACUAUUUAAGCUCAGCUCUUUUGCCUCUUCUCACUUUGGGAAACAUUUGCUCUUGUUCACCAGCUGCACAGGAUGGAAGUAACAUCUGUCCAAGCAGGUGACGCAUUUGGGAUCUACUAAAGUUUAGAGGUUUAAAGGAAAAUUGCAGACAUGAAUCUUAAAACAUGGCAGUAAAUUGUGUAAGUUCAGCAGCACUUUCAGAAGCCUGGGGAUGCUAAAACAUUUUCUCAGACGGAGGAAGACAAUGCAAUCUUUCAGCUUGAACACAAAAAUUAUGAAAAUUAAGUUUUAAUCUGACACCAGCAAUGUAUAAAUUUCUGUUAGGGUGGAUUUUCAUCUGAAAUGACUGCUUGUACAUUAUGCAAAGGCUCAAAGUGCCAAAGCUGCAGGCAGUCGGGGCUUUGAAGUAGCUCACCAGAGCAUCCAGCUGUACAUACUCAGCACUGAAUGUUGAGAUUAAAUCAUGGGAAGAUUAAAGUUAUCACGUGUGUGCAUGUGUCUGUGUCUAUCUACUGUAUGUUACUGUAUAUUACGCAACGGCUUAAUGCUGUCUGGGGUUUGGAGAGCGCUGAAAGGUGCAUAAUGACUCACAGCCAUGAGGCGCAGUAUGGAUGGCUGCUUGGCUCCAUUUGAUCAGCGGUUGGUGUGAGUAUUUAUCUGUGCUAAUGCCAGGAACGAUGCCGACGUCAGCAGUUGUUCUGACGUCAC